RNAcentral lists this ribosomal RNA (401 nucleotides) under uncultured bacterium. RNAcentral's name for it is "partial 16S ribosomal RNA". It matches the Rfam family "Archaeal small subunit ribosomal RNA", at positions 473 to 873 of the family's 1478-position model. The record is from RNAcentral.
ACACCGGCGGCCCGAGUGGUGAUCGUGAUUAUUGGGUCUAAAGGGUCCGUAGCCGAUUUGGUCAGUCCUCCGGGAAAUCUGAUAGCUCAACUAUUAGGCUUUCGGGGGAUACUGCCAGACUUGGAACCGGGAGAGGUAAGAGGUACUACAGGGGCAGGAGUGAAAUCUUGUAAUCCCUGUGGGACCACCUGUGGCGAAGGCGUCUUACCAGAACGGGUUCGACGGUGAGGGACGAAAGCUGGGGGCACGAACCGGAUUAGAUACCCGGGUAGUCCCAGCCGUAAACGAUGCUCGCUAGGUGUCAGGCAUGGCGCGACCGUGUCUGGUGCCGCAGGGAAGCCGUGAAGCGAGCCACCCGGGAAGUACGGCCGCAAGGCUGAAACUCAAAUGAAUUGGCGGGG